UACAGAGGUCCCAAGCGUUGUUCGGAUUCACUGGGCGUAAAGGGUGCGUAGGUGGUGGGGUAAGUUUGAUGUGAAAUCUCCGGGCUUAACCCGGAAACUGCAUUGAAUACUAUCUCACUCGAGGUUUGGAGGGGGGACUGGAAUUCUCGGUGUAGCAGUGAAAUGCGUAGAUAUCGAGAGGAACACCAGUGGCGAAGGCGAGUCCCUGGACAACACCUGACACUGAGGCACGAAAGCUAGGGGAGCAAACAGG
Molecule: ribosomal RNA, 253 nt
Filed under: uncultured bacterium
Lineage: Bacteria
Description: partial 16S ribosomal RNA
Rfam family: Bacterial small subunit ribosomal RNA
Source: RNAcentral